RNAcentral lists this ribosomal RNA (497 nucleotides) under uncultured bacterium. RNAcentral describes it as "partial 16S ribosomal RNA". It matches the Rfam family "Bacterial small subunit ribosomal RNA", at positions 28 to 507 of the family's 1533-position model. The record is from RNAcentral.
GAUGAACGCUGGCGGCGUGCCUAAUACAUGCAAGUCGAGCGAACAGAUGAGGAGCUUGCUCCUCUGACGUUAGCGGCGGACGGGUGAGUAACACGUGGAUAACCUACCUAUAAGACUGGGAUAACUUCGGGAAACCGGAGCUAAUACCGGAUAAUAUAUUGAACCGCAUGGUUCAAUAGUGAAAGACGGUUUUGCUGUCACUUAUAGAUGGAUCCGCGCCGCAUUAGCUAGUUGGUAAGGUAACGGCUUACCAAGGCAACGAUGCGUAGCCGACCUGAGAGGGUGAUCGGCCACACUGGAACUGAGCCACGGUCCAGACUCCUACGGGCGGCAGCAGUAGGGACUCUUCCGCAAUGGGCGAAAGCCUGACGGAGCAACGCCGCGUGAGUGAUGAAGGUCUUCGGAUCGUAAAACUCUGUUAUUAGGGAAGAACAAAUGUGUAAGUAACUAUGCACGUCUUGACGGUACCUAAUCAGAAAGCCACGGCUAACUACGUG